GAUGAACGCUAGCUACAGGCUUAACACAUGCAAGUCGAGGGGAAACGACAUCGCAAGCUUGCUUUUGAUGGGCGUCGACCGGCGCACGGGAGAGUAACGCGUAUCCCACCUGCCCAUCACUUGGUGAUAACCUUGCGAAAGUAAGACUAAUACCCAAUGAUAUCCCUAGAAGACAUCUGAAAGAGACUACAGAUUUAUCUGUGAUGGAUGGGGAUGCGUCUGAUUAGCUUGUUGGCGGGGUACCGGCCCACCAAGGCAACGAUCAGUAGGGGUUCGGAGAGGAAGGGCCCCGAGAGGGGAACUGGGCCACGGUCCAAACACAUACGGGAGGCAGCAGUACGGAAGAUAGGUGAAGGGGCGAGAGCCUGAACGAGCGAAGUAGGGUGCAGGAAGACGGCGUUAGGGGUUGUAACCUGCUUUUAUAAGGCAGUAAAGUGAGAGUCGUGACUCUUUUUGUAGGUACCGGAUGAAGAAGGACCGGCUAACUACGUG
RNAcentral lists this ribosomal RNA (492 nucleotides) under uncultured bacterium. RNAcentral describes it as "partial 16S ribosomal RNA". It matches the Rfam family "Bacterial small subunit ribosomal RNA", at positions 28 to 507 of the family's 1533-position model. The record is from RNAcentral.